AACGAUGAACGAAUCAUUGAUCUACUCGCUAGUACGCUAGUUCAUCGUUCAUAACAAUAGAGGUUUUCUAAGGUUUCUAAUGGUAAAACCGGUAAAUCUAUACAUCAUAACCCAAACGAGGUCCGUUAGAACCGAACGUGGUAAUUCACGUUGGUAGUACACCGCUUGGAAUCCAAUAUAAAAUCGUAACGAAGACGAACUUCCUACCAAACCGGUGGCUUAGCUAAGUUAACUAAAUGCUAGCCGGGCUAGAAACCCAUCGAGACAGCUCACCUUUUACAAAAAGAACGUCAGUGUAAAAGCUGGAUGGUCGUCCAAAGAAGAAAACAAGAAGAUAUACGAUGGAAUUGAGCUCAAAAAAUCGCCUUUAAACCAAUACGGUUGGAUGGUAUUUUCGUUUGAAAACGCGACGGCUCAGAUGGCGAUGGCAACCUGCUAGCGCAGAGAAAGAAUGCUGACUGCUUAUCACUACCAAUGCUGAGCCUAUGCAGGUCACGUGAAGUUCAGCCUGUAGCCGGCCGUCGAGACAAACUGUCUCGAUCCAAACACUUGGAGUGAGAUCAAAGCAAAGGUGUCCAAUUCAAGUGAGCCGUCUCAAUCAUUUGGUUUUUACAGUGAAAAGUGUACCAGACACCAUCAACUUCUAUUCCUCGGUCCUUGGCAUGGAGGUCGUCACUUUCAAGGGGAACCCGCGAGGCUCUGGCAUUUGGGCAGCAGAAAUUUGAGCCCAAAGUAAGGCAUCCAACUCCAGGUUCUGCAGAUCUGUGCCUCAUCACCAGCACCCCCCUGGCUACCGUAGCUGCACAUCUGAAGGUUGUGCACCUGUCUCCCACAGAGGGUCUUGAAUUGAAUUGCUAACGUCAAUCAUGAACUUGUAAGAUGGAUACUCUCUUCUGUGCACGUUUGUGGGGUGCAGAUCGAGGAGGGCCCAGUGGAAAAGACCGGAGCAUCACCUCUCUUCACUUUAUAGAUCCAGAUCACAACCUCAUUGAAAUGUAAAACUAUGACCAGUCAACAUCACAGGAAACUUCUUAAGUGUCCUAAGGUCAAUAUUAUCCCAAAAUAAACAUACCUUUCCCCGUUCCCUGGCAACAUAGUUGUUGUACUUAAGACUUAACAAAGCUCUUAGGGCCCUGUCAAAAAAAUGCGUCAGUCUAACCGCAGGUGCUCUCAUCUUUAUUUAUUAGUGCUUAUUCGUCGAUGGAUUGCGACUGGUUUAAAGAUCUGGAUUAGACUGAUUCUUCAAUUACUUUAUUUAUUACCAUUUAUUGUCAAACUGCGCGUGUUCUCCUGCUACAUGUUGAACUUGUAGGAAUGUUCUUCUAUUUUCUUUGUUGGAAACACCAAUACUGUACUUUAAGAUGACCUUUUCUUGAGUAGUCUGUUAACCCUUAUUAAAAUAAUUUCUUUGUAUAUUCAGCUAUGCUCACACAUACUGUUGAUCUGGGUAUAUGUUAUUUUGUCUUUGUUAUUAUCACUCAAACGUAUUUGUCUUAUUUCUAGCAGACUGUCUCCAUCCAAACACUUGGAGUGAGAUUAAAACAAACGUGUCCAAUUCAA
Non-coding RNA from Gasterosteus aculeatus aculeatus (three-spined stickleback), 1560 nucleotides. The record is from RefSeq and is a predicted model, not a curated record. Lineage: Eukaryota; Metazoa; Chordata; Actinopteri; Perciformes; Gasterosteidae.